Molecule: long non-coding RNA, 1205 nt
Filed under: Equus caballus (horse)
Lineage: Eukaryota; Metazoa; Chordata; Mammalia; Perissodactyla; Equidae
Description: lncRNA (ENSECAG00000048534.1)
Source: RNAcentral
GGGAAAUUUUCUCUCAGAGUUAAUAUUUCACCUUUAACCAGAGUGAUAUUUCUACACCUAAGACCAUUAAAGAUCCCUGACACUGUAUUUGAGAAAAGGGAUGUCUGUGUCAGAAUGUUCACUGUGAUCCUGGCAUUCUGUCUGAAUGCAUCCUGACAAAAUUGUGGGUCAUUUCCUGGAGCUGGUCUAUGUAGCCACGAAAGAUGCUUUUAAAUGUUUACCAUCCUUUGCAUCUGUGAUUAUGCAACAUGCUUGUCUGAGGAAGAAUUUUAAAUGAGCCUUUAGUUGUUUAGGAUGCACAGUGUGACCUAAAAAACUCUUCCACACUUGUCUCCUCCCCACAUCACAAAUUUCUGUGUCUCUACAUGGUGGCCUGGAUGGAGGAGGUGUGCACGUUGAUCCAGGAAGGAGAAGAUGAAGUUGAGUAGCUUGUGCAGAAAAAUGACCAAGAGUGGGGUGCAGAGCUGGGGUAGUGGUGAAACAACGCCUUCCUUUCUUAUCCAGAAAUAAUAAAUGGUCCCGCUGCAUGGUUUGAAACAGAAUGCCUACUAGAAGAAAUCUCUCUUUUAUUCUUUUAAGUGGCAUCUGAUCCAGGAGAGGAGCCAGCAGGACUGCCACCAGGUUGUGUACACGCAGGAAUCCCUCUUAGCUCUGAUGCUGUUGCGAGAGGCUCUAGAUGUCAUUCUGCGGCUACAGAAGGAAAGCGGGUAAAUUCAUCGAUAGAGGGGACCACCCAAACUCUCCUACCUAGUGCUUCUAACUCAAUCUGUGUCCCUGCCUCUCUGGGGUCCUGACCGUGCCUGCAAGGUGGUUAAGGGAGAUGAAUAUGAGUAAAUAAAAUGAGUGUUUGUCUGAAACUGUGUUGGGGGAUUAAGCAUUGUGUUCUCCUUUUGAGGAGCAGCAUGCCAACUGGCAGGCCUUGGCUGACUACCUGGGCCGAGCAGAGAAAAGGAGAUGCUCACCCUUGUCGAAGAGAGGCCGGCUGCUUUGAAGGACACAGGGAGGCGAGCCUCUUCUCGCCCAGAAAAACCAGGUGCAGCUUCCUCAGCAGGGAAAGGUUAUGCUUCAUCUGACUUCGUUUUCUCUCUGCAAAUUAAAGGACAAUUUAUGAGUGUCUAGACAGGAAUUAAUCGGAAUAAUAUUGGCUGCUUUUGACCCGAGAGUGCUAUUACAAUAAAGUAUAUACAACACAAAUAUAGGACAAA